GCAUUCAUAGAGCCUCUCAUCCUCUCCAAUCACCGUAAACUCGUACACAGCCCCUAUCUUUAUUCCAAGGCAAAGCUACUUCUUGCGGGCAGUCUUAAGCAUCGACGGUCUCGCCGCCGCCGUCUGCCGAGGCCAGCACGAGCUCUGGGUGCAGCGGCUCGGCUCGGGUUGUGCCGUCGAGAGCGUUGGGCCGCCCCAGGGCCUUCAGCGUCAGAUGCGCCGCCUUUUGCCCGGAGAUCAUCAUCGCCCCAAACGUUGGCCCCUGCAACCAAAACCACACAGAACCCACCACCACACACGGAUCAAAUCUUUGUAAAGAUUCAUGUCGACUCAUCGAAUCGUUCUCGAUGAGCUCUGUUUGUCUCGGAAGUAAAUAAGCGAGAAAAAAGAUCCAAUCUUUUGCCAUAAACAACCUGAGAGAAGAAAGCAAUACAAAGAAUAUUGCUUUAUGUUAUAUCUGCAAGUAUAGUAUUCAGAAAGACCGAACUUUUUGGAGUGUUUUUCCCCUAAAAUCGACAAAUAAUUCUCAAAAUCAUACAAAUGACAAAUUUUAGUGCAACAUAAGCUGUAAAGAUUGAAUCUUUAUGAUAAAAGAUAUAAGAACAGAGGUGCCAAGAAAGACGGGAUAUAGAUACCAUUCUUGGAGCGCCAUCGAUCUCGGCGACCUCCAUGCCGGUGACGAUCAUGCCCGGGACGACCUCCCUGGUGAGUCGGACGAUGGCGUCCUCCGCUGCGUUCAUAUCCAGGGCCUUCAUCCCGGGCACCGAGUCGAUCAUCCCGAUGCCCUUCAGCCGCUUAACGCCGGUGGCGCCAAAGGGCCCGUCGUGGCCGCAGGAGCUCACCACCACCUUGGCCUCCAUCACGUUGGGGUCCAUGCAGGACUGGGUGUCAUGGUUCAUGGACACCAGCGCCCAGUUGGUCACCACGCCGGCGACGCGCCCUUCCUUGACGAUGAGGUCCUCGGCGGCGACGGCGUUGAAGAGCUUGACGUUGGGGCGGGCGAUGAGGCGGCUCAAGAUGGUGGAGGUGAAGAGUGCAGCGUGGCGGACCACGACGUAGCUGUCGGCCUCGUCGUACGGGACGCCGAGCUCGUCGAGGAAGAGGUGGGCGGGCUUGCGGACGACCAUGGCGGAGAAGAGCUGGCCGCCGAGCCACGCGCCGCCUCCUGGGGAGACGGACUGCUCCACGAUGGCCACGCGCACGGACGGGUCCUUGGAGAUCUCGUAUGCGCAGGACAGCCCCGCAGAGCCGGCGCCGAUGACCACCACGUCCGUAUCCGCAUAGCUGAUCAUGUCGGUCAUGUAGCGGCGGGUCAUCUCCCGGGAGACGAUGGACUCCUGGAUGGGCUUGAAGGAGAAGGAGCCAAGGUCAUACUUGGGGGCGGCCAAGGCGGAGGUGACAGACAGGGCGGCCUUGCCGCUGCCCGAGUGGGAUGGGAGGGGGGUAGCCGCCAGGCGGAGGCCACUGAAUGAGGAGCGGAGGUGGUGGUUGCCGGCGAAGAGGGACUUGGGGUUGGAGAGGAGGAAGGAGGUCGCCAUGGAUGCGGCCAUCGGAGGGAGCUCGGGAAGGGUAUGAGUUGGGGGUCUUGGAGAGGUUUAAGGAGGAUAAGAACGCGGUGGGAAGACGAGAG
RNAcentral lists this long non-coding RNA (1630 nucleotides) under Musa acuminata (dwarf banana). Its description in RNAcentral is "long non-coding RNA (MACU_LNC000860)". Lineage: Eukaryota; Viridiplantae; Streptophyta; Magnoliopsida; Zingiberales; Musaceae. The record is from RNAcentral.